UACCAAUUAACAGAGGAUUCUUCAAUGAAGGUACCUACAUAAGAUAGAAAGAAAUAUUAAAACUAAGAUAGACUGUUAAGAAUUCGUGCCCUACUGAUUUUCUUAUUUUCUCCUAACUUUUGCUUAUCGAUGGAACGUGUUGUCUGACGUGUUCCACUGAUGUGUUUCAAGGAAGCAGUAAACAGAAAGUAAAGAACACAAUAAUUUUUACGUGGAAAACACCCGACUCAAAAGGUGUAAAAAACCACGACCUGCACCUAUACAGGAUUUAACCCCAACUUCACUAAAAACCUCUGAGCCUCAACAACAGCUGAUUACAAAACUCUUGUAACCAACAAAUAGGAAUUAUAAACUCUAAUUCCUAUAACUCAACAACUAGGAAUUAUAAACUCCAAUCCCUAUAACUCAACAACUAGGAAUUAUAAACUCUAAUUCCUAACUACACACACCUCCCAAGGUAUGUGUUCCCAAAGUCUCUGAGUUUUCCCCAACUCGAAGACUAGCUCCUAGUUCAGUUUAUAACACACUGAAACUAAUAUUACAUGAAUAGCUCAAACACAAUGAACAACUUUAAAAAUCAACGCUAAAACUCUUAGCUGGAUUCUGUAAUGAGGAUCAGGUUCUUCAACGUGUUUUUUCAGUGAUUGAGUAGCACUUCGUGAAGUCAAUAUGUCGAUUGAGCUUUUCUGCUUUUGUAAGUGCGUGAAUUAUUCUGACUGUUGCAUCUUCUAUUUAAGCACAACUCUCCAAAGAGUCCUUCUUUAUUUCAAACUCCUAGUUUAAUUAGAACUCUCAUUGCAUAGAGUUCUACUUCAAGUGAGACUCCUUCUUUAAUUCCAACUCUUGUCUCCUAAGAGUUGUAGUAAAACUCCAACUCUUUUGAAUUCUUCAAUUUUCACAAUCUUUCUCCUUCCACACAUUGGACUCUUAAGGAUAUGCUUAGGAGUGAAACUCCUUCUUCACAUAGGACUCUUUUUUCAACUCAACUUGUUUUCCCUUAUCAUCAAGUGUUUGAAUCAAAUUCAACUUGUUUCAUUCAUAUUGUGAUUCAUCAAAACUUCAAGGUUCCAACAUAGACAAUGAACAAAAAUUAAGUUGAACUUAAAACUAGGUAUAAAUAAUACAUUUUGUAAGGUCAUUGUUGGACUCAACUGUGAAUCACCAAUUUUUGUGACCCUAACUUUGCAAUCAUUUAGUAGAGUAACUAAGAAGGGAUAUGCUAUGGAUCGAAUUCUAACUAUUAAGGUUUUAUGUAUGUCAUGUGAUUCACUGCUCCUGAUCAAUUUAUAAUCCAUGAAUCAGCUGAUAAAGAGGCACAAUUACAAGACAAAUUCAGUAGAAUAAUGACAUGCUAAGAUACCUACAAGGUUCACAAUUCUAUGACCACUGAUAAGGUCAUUUAUUGAUUAUACAAGAUCCUGAAAGUUGCCGUUUCCUUUCACAUGGACAUUUUCCAAUAAGGUCAAAGACGGUUGUAUUGUUCUAUAGUUAAGCUUUGUUGACACUUACUGCCAUGUUUGUUAUAUGUUCUAGUAUCUUUAUCGAGAAUGAUGUCAAUAUUUGUCAUUACAUUGACUGCUGCUAAUCCUACAUUUAUCCCUUUGGUAAAAUUAAAGUUAAGAGGAAAUUCAUUUAUCUUAUAGAACUUGGCUUUAAUGUGACUUGUCUUCUUACAAUAGUUACAAAACAAGCUUAUUUUGUUUGCGAAUUGAGCAGAACAGAAACUAGUGUUCCUAUAAGGACUUUUCCCCCAUUUCUGUAAGGUGUAUGAGUAGGUACAUAAUUUGUCCAAAAAGAUAUAAUGCUAUAACUCACACCAAUGUGUCUAUAACCUGAGCUUCCAGCACCAAUAGAGUAGGUAAUACUAGCAGACAAAGAGGUUGAUUUUAAAUGAAUCCAACCAAUAACUCUUCUCUUUGUUUUUUCUCCUGAACAAGGAUAGAGAAGGCUUGAGCCAUUGUAGAUAAGGGGUUCAUCAUCCUUAUGCAUCUUAUUUUUCACCGUAAAUUCACCCAAAUGUGUACUGGAUACUUUCAUCCAAAGCACUCAACUCCUUCUAUAAACGACUAGCAUUAGUGUAGUACCCUGUGAUGUCUAGGUUUCCUUGAGUGAAAUUGUUAAUUUCUUGGUAAGAAUAAUUUAGCUCCAUUAGUUUGGUCAUACCUAGCUUCUGGUUCAUCCCAAAGUUCCUUAACAUUAUCACAAAUUGUAAGUUAUCACUGAGGUCCUUAGAUAGAGUAUUCAGAGGCCAAGAAGUUACCAUAUCAUUGUAUCGCUCCCAUUGUGCAAAUUCAGGAGAAUCAAUAUCAAGUUCUUAAACUUCGUCAUUGAUGAAUCCAAUUUUUUCACUGAAAGCACUCCAUAAGACACCUUUCUUCGAUGAUUCUCCCCUCAUCUGUCGAAUUGAGUUAGAAUGAUCGAAGAUCUCGUAUUUUUGGAUAGAUGCAUGUACAAACACUAUUUGAAUUGGGGUCUCGUGUUCAGUGGGCGAAUUGGUAGUUCCAGGUGUAGUAUCCGCCAUUAUUGUGAUGCAGAGGAGCUAAAACGAGCUUUGAACAAGAAAAAGAAAUGAACGCAAUUGUGUGAAGAAAAAUGGAACCCGUCGGAGAAAAAUCAGUGAAAAUAAAACAAAUUGAUUGAGGAACGACGAAGAACCUUUACAACUAUGAUACCAUGUCAAAAUAAGGAAAUGGAGCUGAGAAUUUGAGGUAAAAUAUCAUGAAAGCUCACAUGGAAAAGAAGUUUCACUCCAUGAGAGAACAAUUGAAGGAAAAGACAUUUUGAAGAAAUAAAAAUUGUCAAUUCAUUCGUCUUGUUGUAGUACACACACACCAAUAACAGAAGAAAGAAGGAGAAGAAAUUUUUUACUCUAACCGACUAAGUGUAACGCCCCAAAAAUCCUGUCCCAAGACGUCACAUGGUGAUUAAGACCACAAAUGGUCCUAAGCUAAUUCUUCUACCGGUAUAAUUCAUAAGCG
This 2978-nucleotide long non-coding RNA is filed under the name Capsicum annuum. RNAcentral's name for it is "long non-coding RNA (CANN_LNC007099)". The record is from RNAcentral. Lineage: Eukaryota; Viridiplantae; Streptophyta; Magnoliopsida; Solanales; Solanaceae.